GCUCUUAGGUGCGAUGAUGUAAUUGGUAUGUGCCGGACGCCUGAAAGCUGGCUGCAGCACCAGGGAUCGGAGACACAUGUUGUUUGGUGGGGCAUCCAUGGACAACACACUGCUUGCAGGAGCAAGGACAAUCCAAAGAAUGCAAAGGCCAGCAACAAGUAGCAGAGCAAUAACACAGUGGCUCGGAAAUGCACACGCCAAUCCACUCCUUCAAAUGUUGAACAUGGUGCUGAUGUUGCAGAAGGUAAAUGUGAAACACAUUAACACUAAAGGAGGAGUUCAAAUUUUUGCCAAAUUCCAUCCCGCCAUCAUCCGACUGCGCAAAUGCGCACAGGCCACGGAUCCACAACGCAUCAAUGUGUGGCACAGAAAAGACCAUGACAGGAUCUGCCCAGAACACAAUCUGCCUCUCCACCAAUGCGAAGCAUCAGUAUGGUUGCAUCAAGGUCACCUUCCGAUUUGCUGGUGCCCUCCCCACCACUUCAACUGCAG
Long non-coding RNA from Pseudophryne corroboree (corroboree frog), 492 nucleotides. RefSeq lists it as uncharacterized. The transcript is spliced from 3 exons. The record is from RefSeq and is a predicted model, not a curated record. Lineage: Eukaryota; Metazoa; Chordata; Amphibia; Anura; Myobatrachidae.